RNA transcript from Dunckerocampus dactyliophorus (ringed pipefish), 5839 nucleotides. RefSeq lists it as uncharacterized. Lineage: Eukaryota; Metazoa; Chordata; Actinopteri; Syngnathiformes; Syngnathidae. The record is from RefSeq and is a predicted model, not a curated record. The transcript is spliced from 4 exons.
UAAAUGCUAACAUUCAAAUUAAUUAAAUAAGAUGAGUGAACCAAACUCAGUUUUCAUCAACUUGUUAUGAACACUCAUUUUAAAUAAGUAACUAGUAAUUAGAGGUUGGAAAACAUGCUUAACUUGAUUUAUCCCAGUUAAGUCAAAUUAGAAAAAGUUAUUUAUUGUACCCAGCAUGCUUUGGGAGGUUUUUUUUGAACAUGCUCAGACCUUCCUCAUCUACUUCGAGCUACCAAAACCUUCAGCACAUUUUCACCUCGACCGCAUCAUCAAUCAGGAGCUUCCUUCAACACCUUCACCUGGCCUGCUUGUGUUUAGCACAUUAAGGUAAGUGAAUAUUCUCCUCUUUUGUAAACCGUCGCGUUGUCUUGUUGUAGUGUUAUGUGCUUGCCAGGGAGGAGUAAACAAAAUCAAAUUCAAAUAUUACCGCUAGCACAGUAACGUCGCCGUUUUUAAAACAAAUGUAGACAAGAGUUUAUCCUAUCCUUUUCUUGGCGAUUUGGACGCGCGCGCGUGUGUGUGGUGUCGGCGACAGGUUCGAAUGUGGGAGAAAAGGUUGGCCGUUGAGCUCCGGUAUCGGGAUCACGGUGUUCCGACCCGCACAGGGAAGUUCGUUUCAGCCUGGUCGCGCCAAGCUGCUCGCCCUCGAAAAUUGUAUGCUAGCUGCAGCCCUCCAGCUCACACCAGGUUAAUUUCUCCGCGCCGGUUGACAAGGUACCAUUUGUGUAUAUUUGUGUGUCGAUGUGUGUGCGUGUAUUUUCAACUCUGUCUGGCUCUGUUUCGAUAAAUAAACACAAAUAGGCAACAAACGCACACAUAGAGGGCUUAAUGCUAAAAUUAUCAUGUCUUUUCAGGUCAACCAGAGCAGUACUCCCUAAUGCAGUGGACUUGUAAGUACUGCACAUUUUCUGCUGAAAAGAGAGGCUACUUGCUUAAGCAUUACCGCUUAAAACAUGGAUUUCACACUCGGACCUCCCCACUUCCAUGCCUUCAUAAGGAAUGCCUCUGCACAUUUAAAUCUUUUAAUGCACUCAAAGUGCACAUUUCAACAUGGCAUACUCAAAAGGAUGCAGGCAAACGUGGGGAAACUGCAUUUCACUGUCAGUUGUGCAACUUCGUGGAGCCUUGCACAAAAGCAGACUUCUUUACCCAUUUGCGAAGACAUCUUAAGCUGAGGCAAAUGGUUGCUUGCCCAUAUCAGGACUGUAACUUUCAGAGUAAUGUCUAUUCUACCUUUACUGCACACAAAAGCAAAGAGCACCAGAUGCACAACAAGAUGCCAUUCAAACAGGAAAUUGGUUCAAAAAAUGUGGUUGAAGAACUUACAACAAAUGCUAGUGUUCAGAUAGAGGAGAGUGACCAUGAAUUUGAUGGAAUUGACUGUGAAGUUGCUGAGCAAAAUGAAGAUGUGGAGGACUUAGAGAAUCAGUUGGAACACAAUGUAGCUGCUCUUUUCCUGAAAAUGUCAUCAAUUCUUAACAUCUCUGAAACUGCCCUGCAAGAGGUCAUAGAGCAGAUCAAUCAAAUUUAUUUGUUAUCACAGCCAUUGCUACAUUCUUCUAUUCAAAGAAUUCUACAAACACAUUGUGCAAACGUUGAUGAUGCUUUAGUGAAUGAGAUAGCUCAAGUGGUCAUUGAGAAUAAUGUUUUCCUCAAAUUCACUUCUGAUGAGGGAUCGUUGUCAACUGCUAACAGGCGAAAAUCAUACAUUUCAAGGGAAUUCUCUUUGGUUAUGCCAGUUGAAUUUGUCCUAGAAAACAUGCAGAAUGUUGUGUAUGUCCCCAUACUAAAAAUGCUGCAAACAUUACUGAGCAAUAGAGAAAUUCUGGAAAAGACCAUGUCACAUGAGGCAACUUUGUCAGGGAAAUACCAAUCUUACAGAGAUGGUGCCCGCUUCAAAGACAGUGCUUUCUUGAAUGAGGAAGAAUUCAGGAUCGCUCUCCAACUGUAUAUUGAUGAUUUUGAGGUGGCUAACCCCUUGGGAACCUCCAGAAAAAAGCACAAACAAACUGCUAUCUACUGGACACUUGGAAAUUUACACCGUAAAUAUCGCUCUUCUCUUCAUUCCAUUCAGCUUGCUCUGCUUUGCAAGGCGAACAACAUCAAAGACCAUGGUUAUGCCAAAAUUCUCCACCCUCUUAUUCUGGACCUUGUUUUUCUUGAGCAACAAGGCAUAUAUGUUGAACAGUUGGGAGCCACUGUUAAGGGCACAGUGUUAUUUGUUGCAGCAGACAAUCUGGCUGCCCACUCUUUGGGAGGGUUCUUUGAAAGCUUCAGAGUUAGCCAAGUUUGUCGAUUCUGUAUGGCCAAGCGGGAGGAAAUGCAGGAUCAAGAAGUACGGACAGGCUUAUUUCAACAAAGAACAAAAGAAAACCAUGACAAACAUGUGCAAGAGGUGUCACAUUCAGCUAAACAAUACGGCGUGAAAGGAAGCUGUCCCUUUACUGAAAGCUUGCAACAUUUUCAUGUAGUUGAUGGUUACCCUCCAGACAUUCUGCAUGAUCUUCUGGAGGGUAUUGUUCCAGUAGAGUUGGCUCUGUGCUUAAAGGCACUGAUAUCGAAGGGAACUAUCUCCAUUGAGGCCCUGAAUGAUGCUAUUAAACACUUCCCAUACACAUUUGAAGACAGAGUAAAUCAACCCCAACUAAUUCCAAAGACCUUCUCCUCAAAGUCAACAAUUGGAGGAAAUGGUCACGAAAAUUGGACUCUUCUCCGACUUCUACCAUUGUUAACUGGUCAACACAUUCCAGACGGUGAUGAAACCUGGGAGGUCUUAAUGACCUUAAAAGAUGUGGUGGAGUUGGCAAUGUCCACAAGCUUUACAGAAGAGUCUUUGUGCUUUCUUGAUAGCAAAAUCUCUGACCAUAGACAAUUGUUUCAGAAGGUUUUCCCGGGUGAAAAGCUACGACCAAAGCACCACUACAUUGAGCAUUACCCUCAGCUCAUUCGAACAUUUGGUCCUCUAUCUGAUGUGUGGACAAUGCGUUUUGAGGGGAAACACAAGUUCUUCAAGAAAGUUGUGCAUCACUCUCACAACUUUAAAAACAUUCCCCUGACUUUAGCAAACAGACAUCAGAAAAUGAUGGCCUUCCAUCUAGCUGCCACAACAUUUUUUAAGCCAUCUAUUGAAAUUCACAAAGUGAAGUCUGUGAUGGUUUCCUCAUUUCCGGAAAAUGUGCAGAACUGGCUCAGUCAAAGAAACAACCAGCUAAACACAGUCCUUGUUGCUUCCUCCGUCAUCAUUGAUGGCAUCAAGUACAGUUCUGACAUGGUCAUUUCUGUUGGAUCUUGCGCAGGGCUCCCAGAGUUCAGACAAAUCUCAAGGAUUGUUGUUAUAAACACAGAUGUAGCAUUUGUCUGUAGACUGAUGACCUCAUGGUAUGAUGAGCAUCUUAGAGUGUAUGACCUCAGCAGCAGCCAUUUUCCCAUGUUCUCAGUCACCCAGUUGUCAGAUUUGAAUGAUGUGUUUCCUCUGUCACUUUACAGAGUUCAUGGCAAACAGCUUGUUACACUCAAACGGUACAUAUUAGGCUUGGUGGAUUAAACACUGAUGUGUGAAGAUAAUGUUUUUUCACAGGAGGUGACAUUGAGAUGGACCAAAGAUUGAUGCUUCGAGUUGUCAUUCAUGAGGAUGACAUAAGGAAGCUGACCUUAAAUGAUAGACCGAAUUCCAUUGAAGAACUAAAAACACAGCUGCAAGAUAAGCUGUCACUGCAGUACGACUUCAAACUCCAAUAUGAAGAUCCAGAUUUCAGUAAUGCAUUAUGCAAUUUGACUGAAAUAACAGAUUUGCCUGCAAGAGCUACGCUGAAAGUAAUUCCUCUUGUGACUCUCGAUUUGACCGCCCUGUCUUCACCCACCGAAGAAUCAGACUGCAGCACAGUAGACGCUGAGAUCUUGUCCCCUGCUGAAUCGUCACCUUCACUUAGAAGACAGUGGCCAGAGUUCUUUGACAUACCCAGUUUCUCAGUGGAUGUAGAGUACAGGCUGAGACAGGCAGACCUUUCAUUCAUGAAAGACCGUCUCCCAAUUACUCCAUCACGAGACAUGAAACAUGACAUACUUGAGAAGCUCGCCGAAACAAUGUACAGUUUCAAGGCGUACCCGAACGAUGAUGACUUCAGCAGUGUCGCAAAAUCACUGAUAAGUAAGCACCCCAGUCUCACUGAACCUGGUCCCCAGCCAGGGUGGUAUGGCUGGAAAAAUAGCCUAAAAUUCAAGAUGGCAAACUAUCGUACAAAGCUACGAAAAGCAGGAUGUGAUGAUGUAAUGAUAAAUGGGGGUAAACGAAGUAAAAACUUAAUCCAGAUGGAGACUCAUCCAGCAAGAAUGUCAAGAGACCAAAAAGAGGCGAAGCCAAUUAUUUGCCUAAUUUACCAGACGGACAUGAUGAAAGAAGCCUUGAAAAUGCCAGGAAGACUGUCUUCGAGGAAAUGAAGAAAAAAAACCCCAAUGCCACUCUAGUCUCGCAAAUAAUGGACCAAACAUUCCCACUGCGCAGAAGGGAGAUAGUGACACAGGAGCCUGCUGUGCAGAGCAUGGUUGAACGUUGGCCAGCACUUUUUACUGAGAGACAGGUCUUUGCAGAGUUUAAUCGCGUGGCCAGUAAGAACCUUGAAGGAAACUUCUAUGAAGCCUUAGACCAACAUACCCCACGCUUCAUCGAGCUUUUCAAGUCCAAAAAAGGAACUACAGGACAAAAAUUGACAGACUUGAUGCAGCACAUCAACUGCCUGUCGCCAGAUGUGACGGCACUUCGCUCUGUUGUCCUCAGAGGCCUUCCUAUUGUGCUUGGUGAUGACUCCAGUGAGGUCUACAAGACUUGCUUUGACACAGCGAAGGAAGAAGCACUCGCCUCAGUGACAGUUGGGGUGCUGACCGUGGUCAAUGAAGAUGCUCUGCAGCAGGGUCUAAAUGCAGUGCACCUCCAGCCAAUCUCCACUGCCAUCAUACUUGAGGGAAGUACAGUCAUGGACAAUGUUAGAGACUUUCCCCAGGCAGUCUGCCUCUUGUUUGGUCUUAUGUAUGCGCUUCACUUAGAUUACCCAAAAUGCAUGGUGAACACACUCACAUUCAUUCAAGCAAUCAUGCUUGGAUUGGGAAGCAAAAUACUCAAUCCGAAACUGCUUAGUUUGAAAAACAAACUACUGGGGUAGGCAGUGCAAAAACCUUUUCCCCUCUUCAAAAUAGAGUCCCAGAUGUCCCAGCAUUACCUGUAUGAAAGAAAAUUGACUUAAAUUUUACCCAAACCCAUUUUGUGUGAGCAACUUAACAAAAAGAUGAUAUUUGAUUCUCAAUAGGUGACAAGGAAAUAUCAGCAAUAUUAGCAUGUCCAGGCUGCACAGGCAUCUCACUUCUUUAUCUUCACUGCAAAAUAAUAAUCCCAAUAAUUUAAAAUGCCUACAUAGUUGACACACCAACAUCAAUAGUUUCCUGUGUCUCUUAAUAAUUGUUACCUUUAUGGAAAAUAAAUGUAUGUGCUUUUGUACAAGUAAUGCCAACACAUCCAGGACCCUCAUUUUGAAGAGUGGAUCAACAGGAAAUAUUUGUUGUUAAUGUGCAUGUCAUUAUGUUUCAAGUUGUUACUUUGGUUUUCAAAAAGUAACUGCACCCAACAUAACCGUAAGCUUCAGAACUAAAAAGUGAUUAGUUCAGAAAGGUUCUCUGAAAGGGUUUAGGUCUUCAUAAUAUUCUUUCCAAGCAAUUAUGAGGAACAUAUUUUCUAUAUGUUGUGCAUUUUUGUUGAGAGACUGUUUUUUGAUAUGUUUUCUUGUCUCAAACUGGACCAUGUUCCCAGGUCAGGAACUAUUUUUAGUUAAAUAAAUUUUAAUUCCACUGA